RNAcentral lists this ribosomal RNA (2787 nucleotides) under Escherichia coli. RNAcentral's name for it is "bacterial LSU rRNA". It matches the Rfam family "Bacterial large subunit ribosomal RNA". Lineage: Bacteria; Pseudomonadati; Pseudomonadota; Gammaproteobacteria; Enterobacterales; Enterobacteriaceae. The record is from RNAcentral.
AGCGUACACGGUGGAUGCCCUGGCAGUCAGAGGCGAUGAAGGACGUGCUAAUCUGCGAUAAGCGUCGGUAAGGUGAUAUGAACCGUUAUAACCGGCGAUUUCCGAAUGGGGAAACCCAGUGUGUUUCGACACACUAUCAUUAACUGAAUCCAUAGGUUAAUGAGGCGAACCGGGGGAACUGAAACAUCUAAGUACCCCGAGGAAAAGAAAUCAACCGAGAUUCCCCCAGUAGCGGCGAGCGAACGGGGAGCAGCCCAGAGCCUGAAUCAGUGUGUGUGUUAGUGGAAGCGUCUGGAAAGGCGCGCGAUACAGGGUGACAGCCCCGUACACAAAAAUGCACAUACUGUGAGCUCGAUGAGUAGGGCGGGACACGUGGUAUCCUGUCUGAAUAUGGGGGGACCAUCCUCCAAGGCUAAAUACUCCUGACUGACCGAUAGUGAACCAGUACCGUGAGGGAAAGGCGAAAAGAACCCCGGCGAGGGGAGUGAAAAAGAACCUGAAACCGUGUACGUACAAGCAGUGGGAGCACGCUUAGGCGUGUGACUGCGUACCUUUUGUAUAAUGGGUCAGCGACUUAUAUUCUGUAGCAAGGUUAACCGAAUAGGGGAGCCGAAGGGAAACCGAGUCUUAACUGGGCGUUAAGUUGCAGGGUAUAGACCCGAAACCCGGUGAUCUAGCCAUGGGCAGGUUGAAGGUUGGGUAACACUAACUGGAGGACCGAACCGACUAAUGUUGAAAAAUUAGCGGAUGACUUGUGGCUGGGGGUGAAAGGCCAAUCAAACCGGGAGAUAGCUGGUUCUCCCCGAAAGCUAUUUAGGUAGCGCCUCGUGAAUUCAUCUCCGGGGGUAGAGCACUGUUUCGGCAAGGGGGUCAUCCCGACUUACCAACCCGAUGCAAACUGCGAAUACCGGAGAAUGUUAUCACGGGAGACACACGGCGGGUGCUAACGUCCGUCGUGAAGAGGGAAACAACCCAGACCGCCAGCUAAGGUCCCAAAGUCAUGGUUAAGUGGGAAACGAUGUGGGAAGGCCCAGACAGCCAGGAUGUUGGCUUAGAAGCAGCCAUCAUUUAAAGAAAGCGUAAUAGCUCACUGGUCGAGUCGGCCUGCGCGGAAGAUGUAACGGGGCUAAACCAUGCACCGAAGCUGCGGCAGCGACGCUUAUGCGUUGUUGGGUAGGGGAGCGUUCUGUAAGCCUGCGAAGGUGUGCUGUGAGGCAUGCUGGAGGUAUCAGAAGUGCGAAUGCUGACAUAAGUAACGAUAAAGCGGGUGAAAAGCCCGCUCGCCGGAAGACCAAGGGUUCCUGUCCAACGUUAAUCGGGGCAGGGUGAGUCGACCCCUAAGGCGAGGCCGAAAGGCGUAGUCGAUGGGAAACAGGUUAAUAUUCCUGUACUUGGUGUUACUGCGAAGGGGGGACGGAGAAGGCUAUGUUGGCCGGGCGACGGUUGUCCCGGUUUAAGCGUGUAGGCUGGUUUUCCAGGCAAAUCCGGAAAAUCAAGGCUGAGGCGUGAUGACGAGGCACUACGGUGCUGAAGCAACAAAUGCCCUGCUUCCAGGAAAAGCCUCUAAGCAUCAGGUAACAUCAAAUCGUACCCCAAACCGACACAGGUGGUCAGGUAGAGAAUACCAAGGCGCUUGAGAGAACUCGGGUGAAGGAACUAGGCAAAAUGGUGCCGUAACUUCGGGAGAAGGCACGCUGAUAUGUAGGUGAAGUCCCUCGCGGAUGGAGCUGAAAUCAGUCGAAGAUACCAGCUGGCUGCAACUGUUUAUUAAAAACACAGCACUGUGCAAACACGAAAGUGGACGUAUACGGUGUGACGCCUGCCCGGUGCCGGAAGGUUAAUUGAUGGGGUCAGCGCAAGCGAAGCUCUUGAUCGAAGCCCCGGUAAACGGCGGCCGUAACUAUAACGGUCCUAAGGUAGCGAAAUUCCUUGUCGGGUAAGUUCCGACCUGCACGAAUGGCGUAAUGAUGGCCAGGCUGUCUCCACCCGAGACUCAGUGAAAUUGAACUCGCUGUGAAGAUGCAGUGUACCCGCGGCAAGACGGAAAGACCCCGUGAACCUUUACUAUAGCUUGACACUGAACAUUGAGCCUUGAUGUGUAGGAUAGGUGGGAGGCUUUGAAGUGUGGACGCCAGUCUGCAUGGAGCCGACCUUGAAAUACCACCCUUUAAUGUUUGAUGUUCUAACGUUGACCCGUAAUCCGGGUUGCGGACAGUGUCUGGUGGGUAGUUUGACUGGGGCGGUCUCCUCCUAAAGAGUAACGGAGGAGCACGAAGGUUGGCUAAUCCUGGUCGGACAUCAGGAGGUUAGUGCAAUGGCAUAAGCCAGCUUGACUGCGAGCGUGACGGCGCGAGCAGGUGCGAAAGCAGGUCAUAGUGAUCCGGUGGUUCUGAAUGGAAGGGCCAUCGCUCAACGGAUAAAAGGUACUCCGGGGAUAACAGGCUGAUACCGCCCAAGAGUUCAUAUCGACGGCGGUGUUUGGCACCUCGAUGUCGGCUCAUCACAUCCUGGGGCUGAAGUAGGUCCCAAGGGUAUGGCUGUUCGCCAUUUAAAGUGGUACGCGAGCUGGGUUUAGAACGUCGUGAGACAGUUCGGUCCCUAUCUGCCGUGGGCGCUGGAGAACUGAGGGGGGCUGCUCCUAGUACGAGAGGACCGGAGUGGACGCAUCACUGGUGUUCGGGUUGUCAUGCCAAUGGCACUGCCCGGUAGCUAAAUGCGGAAGAGAUAAGUGCUGAAAGCAUCUAAGCACGAAACUUGCCCCGAGAUGAGUUCUCCCUGACUCCUUGA